GGAUAUAGCUCAGUGGUACAGUGCCUGCUUGGCAAGCAUGAGGUUCUGGUUCGAUUCCCAGAAUCCA
RNAcentral lists this transfer RNA (67 nucleotides) under Cavia porcellus (domestic guinea pig). It matches the Rfam family "tRNA". Rfam says of the family: Transfer RNA (tRNA) molecules are approximately 80 nucleotides in length. Their secondary structure includes four short double-helical elements and three loops (D, anti-codon, and T loops). The record is from Rfam by way of RNAcentral. Lineage: Eukaryota; Metazoa; Chordata; Mammalia; Rodentia; Caviidae.